GAUGAAGAACGUAGCGAAAUGCGAUAAGUAAUGCGAAUUGCAGAAUUUCCGUGAAUCAUCGAAUCUUUGAACGCACAUUGCGCCCCCUGGUAUUCCGGGGGGCAUGCCUGUUCGAGCGUCAUUUCACCACUCAAGCCUCGCUUGGUAUUGGGCAACGCGGUCCGCCGCGUGCCUCAAAUCGACCGGCUGGGUCUUCUGUCCCCUAAGCGUUGUGGAAACUAUUCGCUAAAGGGUGUUCGGGAGGCUACGCCGUAAAACAACCCCAUUUCUAAGGUUGACCUCGGAUCAGGUAGGGAUACCCGCUGAACUUAAGCAUAUCAAUAAGCGGAGGA
RNAcentral lists this unclassified non-coding RNA (332 nucleotides) under soil metagenome. RNAcentral's name for it is "partial contains 5.8S ribosomal RNA, internal transcribed spacer 2, and large subunit ribosomal RNA". The stretch from base 1 to 121 matches the Rfam family "5.8S ribosomal RNA", at positions 35 to 154 of the family's 154-position model. The record is from RNAcentral.